This 29-nucleotide non-coding RNA is filed under the name Bombyx mori (domestic silkworm). The record is from RNAcentral. Lineage: Eukaryota; Metazoa; Arthropoda; Insecta; Lepidoptera; Bombycidae.
UGCCUAAAAGAACCGUUAAUGGGUCGGGA